CGUAGGGAAUUUUUGGCAAUGGACGAAAGUCUGACCGAGCAACGCCGCGUGAGUGAAGAAGGUUUUCGGAUCGUAAAACUCUGUUGUUAGAGAAGAACAAGGAUGAGAGUAAAACGUUCAUCCCUUGACGGUAUCUAACCAGAAAGCCCCGGCUAACUACGUGCCAGCAGCCGCGGUAAUACGUAGGUGGCAAGCGUUGUCCGGAUUUAUUGGGCGUAAAGCGAGCGCAGGCGGUUUGUUAAGUCUGAUGUGAAAGCCCCCGGCUCAACCGGGGAGGGUCAUUGGAAACUGGGAGACUUGAGUGCAGAAGAGGAGAGUGGAAUUCCAUGUGUAGCGGUGAAAUGCGUAGAUAUAUGGAGGAACACCAGUGGCGAAGGCGGCUCUCUGGUCUGUAACUGACGCUGAGGCUCGAAAGCGUGGGGAGCGAACAGGAUUAGAUACCCUGGUAGUCCACGCCGUAAACGAUGAGUGCUAAGUGUUGGAGGGUUUCCGCCCUUCAGUGCUGCAGCAAACGCAUUAAGCA
This 523-nucleotide ribosomal RNA is filed under the name uncultured Enterococcus sp. RNAcentral's name for it is "bacterial SSU rRNA". It matches the Rfam family "Bacterial small subunit ribosomal RNA", at positions 353 to 866 of the family's 1533-position model. The record is from RNAcentral. Lineage: Bacteria; Bacillati; Bacillota; Bacilli; Lactobacillales; Enterococcaceae.